AGCGUUAGUCCGGAAUUAUUGGGCGUUAGAGAGCUCGUAGGCGGUUUGUCGCGUNUGCCGUGAAAGUCCGGGGCUCAACUCCGGAUCUGCGGUGGGUACGGGCAGACUAGAGUGAUGUAGGGGAGACUGGAAUUCCUGGUGUAGCGGUGAAAUGCGCAGAUAUCAGGAGGAACACCGAUGGCGAAGGCAGGUCUCUGGGCAUUAACUGACGCUGAGGAGCGAAAGCAUGGGGAGCGAACAGGAUUAGAUACCCUGGUAGUCCAUGCCGUAAACGUUGGGCACUAGUGUGGGGGGACAUCCACGUUUCCCGCGCCGUAGCUAACGCAUUAAGUGCCCCGCCUGGGGAGUACCGCCGCCAGGCUAAAACUCAAAGGAAUUGACGGGGGCCCGCACCACCCCC
RNAcentral lists this ribosomal RNA (400 nucleotides) under Arthrobacter sp. 53TDS. Its description in RNAcentral is "bacterial SSU rRNA". It matches the Rfam family "Bacterial small subunit ribosomal RNA", at positions 537 to 933 of the family's 1533-position model. Lineage: Bacteria; Bacillati; Actinomycetota; Actinomycetes; Micrococcales; Micrococcaceae. The record is from RNAcentral.